ACGCACAGGAUGCACCGUAGUUUACUACACCGUAUUCUGUGAGUUGCGAACGGGUGAGUAACGCGUAGGUAACCUGCCUGGUAGCGGGGGAUAACUAUUGGAAACGAUAGCUAAUACCGCAUAAGAACAUUUACUGCAUGGUAGAUGUUUAAAAGGUGCAAAUGCAUCACUACCAGAUGGACCUGCGUUGUAUUAGCUAGUAGGUGAGGUAACGGCUCACCUAGGCGACGAUACAUAGCCGACCUGAGAGGGUGAUCGGCCACACUGGGACUGAGACACGGCCCAGACUCCUACGGGAGGCAGCAGUAGGGAAUCUUCGGCAAUGGGGGGAACCCUGACCGAGCAACGCCGCGUGAGUGAAGAAGGUUUUCGGAUCGUAAAGCUCUGUUGUUAAGGAAGAACGAGUGUGAGAAUGGAAAGUUCAUACUGUGACGGUACUUAACCAGAAAGGGACGGCUAACUACGUGCCAGCAGCCGCGGUAAUACGUAGGUCCCGAGCGUUGUCCGGAUUUAUUGGGCGUAAAGCGAGCGCAGGCGGUUAGAUAAGUCUGAAGUUAAAGGCAGUGGCUCAACCAUUGUAGGCUUUGGAAACUGUUUAACUUGA
Molecule: ribosomal RNA, 604 nt
Filed under: Streptococcus intermedius
Lineage: Bacteria; Bacillati; Bacillota; Bacilli; Lactobacillales; Streptococcaceae
Description: bacterial SSU rRNA
Rfam family: Bacterial small subunit ribosomal RNA
Source: RNAcentral